RNAcentral lists this unclassified non-coding RNA (21 nucleotides) under Dictyostelium discoideum. The record is from RNAcentral. Lineage: Eukaryota; Evosea; Eumycetozoa; Dictyosteliales; Dictyosteliaceae.
AUAUCAGUUUGAUUCCUAAGG